AUUGAUGGAUUAGAUGACGAGCACUUAAAGGCCAUAUGCACUCAAACUGGUCUUGGAGGGCUAACAAAGAUGAAGUCAGUGUCCCUCCGACGUAUUAUGUUGGUGCUGCUAGCGAAGAGCUACAUCCACGACAUGCAGAGUAUUCACAUUGCUGGAAAAUAUAUAUAUAUGGAAAUGGGAAAACCAAAAGACGCAAACUUGUUAAGGGCUUAUCAAACAGAUGGAAGACUUAAGCUGAGUGACCUUGAGGACAAAAUUAAAGCCUCCAAAACUCCAGAUGAUCAUUUCAUCAGGCGGUUUGUUUUGUAUGCUAUUGGCAUUAUUUUAGCACCCACGGUACAGGAUUAUGUCGACUCCAAAUAUUUUGUCCUUGUUGAAGACGUCGCAAGAAUUCCCAAAUUUAACUGGGGAUGUUUCACACUGGACCAUUUGCUAACAUCCAUCAAUACUUUUAAUUAUAAGGAUCAAGUCAAUCUACAAGGAAAUCUAGCUUUGCUCCAAUUUUGGUAUUGGGAACAUGUCCAUGCUGGAUCGAUUUUGUAUUCUCGUAUACCCCAUCCACUAAUGGCACGG
Molecule: ribosomal RNA, 573 nt
Filed under: Triticum aestivum (bread wheat)
Lineage: Eukaryota; Viridiplantae; Streptophyta; Magnoliopsida; Poales; Poaceae
Description: partial small subunit ribosomal RNA
Source: RNAcentral